This 735-nucleotide ribosomal RNA is filed under the name bacterium EJ10-42. Its description in RNAcentral is "bacterial SSU rRNA". It matches the Rfam family "Bacterial small subunit ribosomal RNA", at positions 49 to 792 of the family's 1533-position model. The record is from RNAcentral.
UUACACAUNGCAAGUCGAACGNAUGAUNNNCNAGCUUGCUGCCGGAUUAGUGGCGAACGGGUGAGUAACACGUGAGUAACCUGCCCUUAACUCUGGGAUAAGCCUGGGAAACUGGGUCUAAUACCGGAUAUGACUCCUCAUCGCAUGGUGGGGGGUGGAAAGCUUUAUUGUGGUUUUGGAUGGACUCGCGGCCUAUCAGCUUGUUGGUGAGGUAAUGGCUCACCAAGGCGACGACGGGUAGCCGGCCUGAGAGGGUGACCGGCCACACUGGGACUGAGACACGGCCCAGACUCCUACGGGAGGCAGCAGUGGGGAAUAUUGCACAAUGGGCGAAAGCCUGAUGCAGCGACGCCGCGUGAGGGAUGACGGCCUUCGGGUUGUAAACCUCUUUCAGUAGGGAAGAAGCGAAAGUGACGGUACCUGCAGAAGAAGCGCCGGCUAACUACGUGCCAGCAGCCGCGGUAAUACGUAGGGCGCAAGCGUUAUCCGGAAUUAUUGGGCGUAAAGAGCUCGUAGGCGGUUUGUCGCGUCUGCCGUGAAAGUCCGGGGCUCAACUCCGGAUCUGCGGUGGGUACGGGCAGACUAGAGUGAUGUAGGGGAGACUGGAAUUCCUGGUGUAGCGGUGAAAUGCGCAGAUAUCAGGAGGAACACCGAUGGCGAAGGCAGGUCUCUGGGCAUUAACUGACGCUGAGGAGCGAAAGCAUGGGGAGCGAACAGGAUUAGAUACCCCUGGUA